RNAcentral lists this small RNA (677 nucleotides) under Pan troglodytes (chimpanzee). Its description in RNAcentral is "processed transcript". Lineage: Eukaryota; Metazoa; Chordata; Mammalia; Primates; Hominidae. The record is from RNAcentral.
UUUAUUCAGCACUACUCUAUAGGUUGAGUACCUGUUUUAUACUAGGCACUGUUCCAGGCAUUGAAUACAGCAGAAAUAACACUGACAAAAGUUCCCAUCCUCAUGGAUCCUAGUGAGCAGAGCCAUUUCACACAAGGUGAUCGGGGAAGGUUUCACUGAGAUGAUGACUUGAAUGGAGACCUGAGGAAGUGUGCAGGAUGACAGAAUUCGAGUCGAAAGGAUGGAUAACAUUUAUUUUGAAUACAGCCAUGCUUUCCAGGCAGUUACAGAGUUUUAUGCAAAAGAUACAGUUGACAUCAAAGGUUCUCAAAUUAUUUCUGGCAUUGUUAACUUAAAGAAGCCUGUGAUUUGCUCUUUGGCUGCCAUCAUAAAAUACCUCAAAGAAUUCAACUUGGAAAAGAUGCUCUCCAAACCUGAGAAUUUUAAACAGCUAUCAAGUAAAAUGGAAUUUAUGACAAUUAAUGGAACAACAUUAAGGAAUCUGGAAAUCCUACAGAAUCAGACUGAUAUGAAAACCAAAGGAAGUUUGCUGUGGGUUUUAGACCACACUAAAACUUCAUUUGGGAGACGGAAGUUAAAGAAGUGGGUGACCCAGCCACUCCUUAAAUUAAGGGAAAUAAAUGCCCGGCUUGAUGCUGUAUCGGAAGUUCUCCAUUCAGAAUCUAGUGUGUUUGGUC